This 475-nucleotide ribosomal RNA is filed under the name uncultured organism. RNAcentral describes it as "partial 16S ribosomal RNA". It matches the Rfam family "Bacterial small subunit ribosomal RNA", at positions 335 to 801 of the family's 1533-position model. The record is from RNAcentral.
ACUCCUACGGGAGGCAGCAGUGGGGAAUUUUGGACAAUGGGCGAAAGCCUGAUCCAGCAAUGCCGCGUGUGUGAAGAAGGCCUUCGGGUUGUAAAGCACUUUUGUCCGGAAAGAAAUCCUUGGCUCUAAUACAGUCGGGGGAUGACGGUACCGGAAGAAUAAGCACCGGCUAACUACGUGCCAGCAGCCGCGGUAAUACGUAGGGUGCGAGCGUUAAUCGGAAUUACUGGGCGUAAAGCGUGCGCAGGCGGUUUGCUAAGACCGAUGUGAAAUCCCCGGGCUCAACCUGGGAACUGCAUUGGUGACUGGCAGGCUAGAGUAUGGCAGAGGGGGGUAGAAUUCCACGUGUAGCAGUGAAAUGCGUAGAGAUGUGGAGGAAUACCGAUGGCGAAGGCAGCCCCCUGGGCCAAUACUGACGCUCAUGCACGAAAGCGUGGGGAGCAAACAGGAUUAGAUACCCGAGUAGUCCCAUGAU